Molecule: transfer RNA, 76 nt
Filed under: Clostridia bacterium
Lineage: Bacteria; Bacillati; Bacillota; Clostridia
Also listed under: 1 other name
Description: tRNA-Asn
Rfam family: tRNA
About the family: Transfer RNA (tRNA) molecules are approximately 80 nucleotides in length.
Source: RNAcentral
UCCUCCUUAGCUCAGUCGGUAGAGCGCGCGGCUGUUAACCGCGUUGUCGUUGGUUCAAGUCCAACAGGGGGAGCCA